This 253-nucleotide ribosomal RNA is filed under the name uncultured bacterium. RNAcentral describes it as "partial 16S ribosomal RNA". It matches the Rfam family "Bacterial small subunit ribosomal RNA", at positions 524 to 776 of the family's 1533-position model. The record is from RNAcentral.
GACGUAGGGCGCGAGCGUUGUCCGGAUUUAUUGGGCGUAAAGGGCGCGUAGGCGGUCACGCACGUCCGUUGUGAAAUCGCUCGGCUCAACUGGGCGGGGUCAGCGGAUACGGCGUGGCUGGAGCAAGCUAGGGGGCAAUGGAAUUCCCGGUGUAGUGGUGGAAUGCGUAGAUAUCGGGAGGAACACCAGUGGCGAAGGCGGUUGCCUGGAGCUUUGCUGACGCUGAUGCGCGAAAGCGUGGGGAGCGAUCCGG